GCUGACUUUAUUUGUGAAAAGUAAACACGGUUGGUUGUUGUGCUGGCCACGUGACAUCAUGCUUGUUAACAUC
Non-coding RNA from Biomphalaria pfeifferi, 73 nucleotides. Lineage: Eukaryota; Metazoa; Mollusca; Gastropoda; Planorbidae. The record is from the annotation of a GenBank genome assembly.